This is a non-coding RNA of Drosophila melanogaster (fruit fly), 1386 nucleotides long. NCBI's taxonomy places the organism in Eukaryota, Metazoa, Arthropoda, Insecta, Diptera, Drosophilidae. The record is from Ensembl.
ACAGAAGGAGCCCUGUCCCUGGGCGGGCGGAUAUACUUGUUCGACUCCGUGGGGCGGUGAUUUGCUUGCUCCAGGUAACGGUGAUAGGCGGUGACGUACUCGUUGUUGUCAAUAGUAGCAAUCGGACCUCUGCGAAGACGGAAAGGUGAGUGGUCCUAUCGUAUUCGACUCCCGCCGCUUAUUGCCUCGCAACCAGGAUGGAUUCAGGCGCAGGGUUCCGAAGACGAUGAGCAUGCCGAGGAAGCUGCCGAUGAAGAGGAGACCCACUCCCAAGCCAAUGACCAGUCCGCUGUGGUCCUCGAACCAGGAGACCUGUGCAGAGACCACACAUCGCAUGGUAUGGUGGGAACAACAGUUGGAUGCGGAGGUAAAGUUCUCGCCUAAUAUCACACAGAAGAAUGUGGGAGUGGUGCAAGUCGAUUCGCAGAUCUCCACCAGUAAACCAUCCUGGCACGACGAUUUUCCCAGAUCUGCAGAUGCAACCGUAUCGGUGGUAAUUCUGGAGCACUCUAGAUCCUGGCAAAGUUCCUCUUCGCAUUUUGGCGAUGGUGUUGUUAAUAUCGUUGUUUCUGUCAUAGAUGUACUUUCUUCUUUGGGUGUUGUUGUACUUUGUGUUGAUGGUGGUGAAAUUUCUAUGGAAGUAGUAGGUCCUAGUGUAGUGGUGCCCACUACUUCUGGAGCCAUCGCUCUCUUCGCUAGGAUAGUAGAUAUCUCUUCAGCGUUAGUAGUUGUCUCAGGAGAGAACGCGGAUACGUCCAACUGAUGUUCAUAGUUGCCCGUCUUUUGAGCUCCACCCAAGUCCAAAUAGUGCAACAAUUUGAGUCUUGGCCUCACGAUUUCCCACUCGAUGUUGCCCAACCCACAGUUCCUUAGAAGUAGUUGUUCCAACGCGGGCAGAUUGUCAAAGGACUCUUUAAUAAGGCUUUUGUCCAAGUGUGUGCCACUCAGAUCUAAAUAUUUCAACUGUGGGAAAUUCCGGGAUCCCAAAAAAUCACACACUGAAUACGAUAUUGCCGCGGCUAGUGACUGGUGGAUUUCCGCACUGACUAACGAUUCAGCCACAGCUGAGAGGAAUCCAAAUGGCCUGAAGUGAUUAUUUUCAUUGACUAGAGUAAAGUUCUGAAGCUUUUGAAGACCUUCCAGGGCAGAUUCAGUCAAGUUUUCCAAUUGCACAUUAAUGAGCUGCAGGCUUGUUAUGUUCACAGUGCUUUCCUGAUUAAAAGCUGCGUCGUUGAUAUGAACUAUGGUGCAGUUCUCGAUGACAAGGCUAUGCAAUGCAAUUCCUCCGGAGAAAAAUCCCCGGCGCAGUGUGUUAUUUUCAAAUCCAUAGCCAGAUAUAAUGAGCGAUGUGUCAUUGCCCAGAUGCGUGGAAUCCUCACUAUUAUC